Non-coding RNA from Lonchura striata (white-rumped munia), 636 nucleotides. The record is from RefSeq and is a predicted model, not a curated record. NCBI's taxonomy places the organism in Eukaryota, Metazoa, Chordata, Aves, Passeriformes, Estrildidae.
GCCGGCCCCGCCGGGGCGGCCGCGGCGUCACCGGGAACGGCCGGGAAAAGCCGGAGAAACAAAGAACAUGGCGAGGGGAGGAGGAGCUUCCGCCACCUCAGCCGCUGGGAAGGGCGCUCCGGGGGCGUACAAUGCCCGCCGCGGGGCGGGUUCGCUUCCCUCCGCCCCCUUUCCCCGCCCUUGUGGCCGGGCUGGAGGGGGGCUGGGGCGGAACGGGACGGGCUGAACUGAACUGGACUGGACUGGAGGUGUCCGUCGGGAGUGGGUCCGCUGUCUGCCGCAAGUUUCGCCCAGAGUGGGAAGGAAAGUUGGGCGGGAUCCGGCCAGGCACAACUUCAGGACAUGCAAGAAUACUUUGGAGUGAACUGGCAGUAAGCCUUGCAGUACCAUGGUGGCAAUAAUACUGGCUGUCCUCUGGAGAUGCUGAAGCUCAGCCUUAUUUUGAACUUCUUUCUUAGACCCUCCAACUUGUUCACAAAGGACUUAACACUGAUUUGGAUUCAUAUGGUUGUGGGCAUAUGGUCGGGGAUGUGAUACAGGUCUGCCCUGAGGCAGCCAAUCCCUGGGUGGCCACAGCAGGUACACCUUGAACAUCAGUAGCAGUGCAAGAGGUUGUGCUGGAGCACCUGAAAUGUG